UCCAGACUCCUACGGGAGGCAGCAGUGGGGAAUAUUGCACAAUGGGGGGAACCCUGAUGCAGCGACGCCGCGUGGGUGAAGAAGUCAUUCGUGACGUAAAGCCCUGUCAGCAGGGAAGAAAAUGACGGUACCUGAAGAAGAAGCCCCGGCUAACUACGUGCCAGCAGCCGCGGUAAUACGUAGGGGGCAAGCGUUAUCCGGAUUUACUGGGUGUAAAGGGGGCGCAGACGGCGAUGCAAGCCAGGAGUGAAAGCCCGGGGCCCAACCCCGGGACUGCUCUUGGAACUGCGUGGCUAGAGUGCAGGAGGGGCAGGCGGAAUUCCUGGUGUAGCGGUGAAAUGCGUAGAUAUCAGGAGGAACACCGGUGGCGAAGGCGGCCUGCUGGACUGCAACUGACGUUGAGGCCCGAAAGCGUGGGGAGCAAACGGGAUUAGAUACCCCCGUACG
RNAcentral lists this ribosomal RNA (447 nucleotides) under uncultured bacterium. RNAcentral's name for it is "bacterial SSU rRNA". It matches the Rfam family "Bacterial small subunit ribosomal RNA", at positions 330 to 793 of the family's 1533-position model. The record is from RNAcentral.